GACGAACGCUGGCGGCGUGCUUAACACAUGCAAGUCGAACGGAAAGGCCCUGCUUUUGUGGGGUGCUCGAGUGGCGAACGGGUGAGUAACACGUGAGUGACCUGCCCUUGACUUUGGGAUAACUUCAGGAAACUGGGGCUAAUACCGGAUAGGAGCUCCUGCUGCAUGGUGGGGGUUGGAAAGUUUCGGCGGUUGGGGAUGGACUCGCGGCUUAUCAGCUUGUUGGUGGGGUAGUGGCUUACCAAGGCUUUGACGGGUAGCCGGCCUGCGAGGGUGACCGGCCACAUUGGGACUGAGAAACGGCCCAGACUCCUACGGGAGGCAGCAGUGGGGAGUAUUGCACAAUGGGCGGAAGCGUGAUGCAGCAACGCCGCGUGCGGGAUGACGGCCUUCGGGUUGUAAACCGCUUUCGCCUGUGACGAAGCGUGAGUGACGGUAAUGGGUAAAGAAGCACCGGCUAACUACGU
This 467-nucleotide ribosomal RNA is filed under the name uncultured bacterium. RNAcentral describes it as "partial 16S ribosomal RNA". It matches the Rfam family "Bacterial small subunit ribosomal RNA", at positions 28 to 506 of the family's 1533-position model. The record is from RNAcentral.